RNAcentral lists this long non-coding RNA (512 nucleotides) under Phoenix dactylifera (date palm). RNAcentral describes it as "long non-coding RNA (PDAC_LNC009423)". Lineage: Eukaryota; Viridiplantae; Streptophyta; Magnoliopsida; Arecales; Arecaceae. The record is from RNAcentral.
UGCUGACAAAUAUAGAAAAAGAGUUACGUCACUUUUCUUAAGAGUACAACCAGCUAACAAAUCUUCUAACUCUAAAAGUCCCUCUUAGAGACUAAUAUUCAAAAAUUAUAUUUUUAUCAAAAAUUUAGCAAUAAUUAUUUUAAGAAUAGGAAUUUCAUGUCCUAACACCCUCACUGGGUUGACCAAGUAGAGGUUCUUGAUAUCCCAUUUGGUUUUAAUAAAAACCCAUUGCUUCAACUAGGAGACUACUUAAGGCAGUGCAGAUGGCUUAAUAAAGAUUGAGGGUAACUAAAUCAUCAGUGUCCGACAAGAGCUAAAGUGGAAUCCGGCACGCUAUCGGUGGUCAUAGGUCAGGACCUCCCCAUCCAUUAGGGUUGAUCAAGAUUAUUGAGGAGAGCUCUUUGCUGUAUCUAACAACCCUAGAGGGAUAGUAGAAAGAAAAAAUAUAUAUAGAGAGAAACAAGAUGAGAGCCUGAGGAAGAGAGAAAAAGGGAGAGAACAAAACUCUCUCU